This 153-nucleotide ribosomal RNA is filed under the name uncultured bacterium. RNAcentral's name for it is "partial 16S ribosomal RNA". It matches the Rfam family "Bacterial small subunit ribosomal RNA", at positions 1348 to 1500 of the family's 1533-position model. The record is from RNAcentral.
AUCAGCAUGCCGCGGUGAAUACGUUCCCGGGCCUUGUACACACCGCCCGUCACACCAUGAGAGCCGGGAACACCCGAAGUCGGUAGCCUAACCGUAAGGAGGGCGCCGCCGAAGGUGGGAUUGAUGACUGGGGUGAAGUCGUAACAAGGUAUC